UUUUUUUUAGGUUUUUUUUUUUAAUUUUUAAAAUACAAAAAAAAUAAUAAACAAAAAAGAAGGACAAAAAAAAUAAUAAACAAAUUAAAUAUCAUAAUAUCUACAAUUAUUAUAAAUGCCCGGCUGUCCCACACCCUCGUCUUCGACGAUUUCUUCCGCGAUUUACUUGAGGGUCAUGUUGGUCUUCGUCAUUGUUAUCUGUAGCUGAUUGUAUUUGACUACCAUAACCCAAUGACAACGACACAUCGUGUUCCCUUGUUUGCCAUCCAAUAUCCAGAAAUUGUUCAUUGUUGUUGAACGAAGCCGGAGAGAAGUGAGAUAAUAGGUUUGUUGGUGUUGGUGGAUGGUUGUAGUUUUGGUUGGUGUACAUUGGGUAUUGUGGGCUGUUGUAGGGGGGGUAAUUGGUGUUGGACAGUCCAACUUGGUUUGGGUCAUUAUAGGAGAAGUAGUUGUUGUUGGAUG
RNAcentral lists this long non-coding RNA (462 nucleotides) under Medicago truncatula (barrel medic). Its description in RNAcentral is "long non-coding RNA (MTRU_LNC001832)". Lineage: Eukaryota; Viridiplantae; Streptophyta; Magnoliopsida; Fabales; Fabaceae. The record is from RNAcentral.